Molecule: long non-coding RNA, 443 nt
Filed under: Brachypodium distachyon (stiff brome)
Lineage: Eukaryota; Viridiplantae; Streptophyta; Magnoliopsida; Poales; Poaceae
Description: long non-coding RNA (BDIS_LNC005154)
Source: RNAcentral
GUGUGGUCGCCAUCCCUCCAAGCGUAUUUUAUCUGAACCCUGAGGACGGAAAGAACCUGGUGAGGUUCACCUUCUGCAAGGAUGAUGACACGUUGAGAGCUGCGGUGGAAAGGAUGAAGACAAAGCUCAGGAAAAAAUGAUGGGGGCAAUUUCAUGUAGCUUUUGCUCUUUUGAAUAAAAUCUGCUUGAUCUGAACUGCACAUCAUUUUAUGUGACACUUUUCUAGCAGUAAUUACAUACCCUGUCAGUGAUUUCAUCUCUUGCGUCGUUACUAUAUCUGUCUGUGUAAGCCGAUGCUGAUGGAUCAGGUACCUGCCGCCUGCCGGUACAACUUUUAAGUAGAACAACCUGCGGCUGCUAUUUGCUCAAGCUUUUUCACCUGCCCUAUCAAUCUAUCAUCAAUCCAUCAAGUGACCAAAGCCAUGCUUUUGUAUUCGUAGGAG